This 74-nucleotide transfer RNA is filed under the name Streptococcus pneumoniae. RNAcentral describes it as "tRNA-Asn(gtt)". It matches the Rfam family "tRNA". From Rfam's summary of the family: Transfer RNA (tRNA) molecules are approximately 80 nucleotides in length. Their secondary structure includes four short double-helical elements and three loops (D, anti-codon, and T loops). The record is from RNAcentral. Lineage: Bacteria; Bacillati; Bacillota; Bacilli; Lactobacillales; Streptococcaceae.
UCCGCCAUAGCUCAGUUGGUAGUAGCGCAUGACUGUUAAUCAUGAUGUCGUAGGUUCGAGUCCUAUUGGCGGAG